Molecule: unclassified non-coding RNA, 144 nt
Filed under: soil metagenome
Description: partial internal transcribed spacer 1
Source: RNAcentral
UAAUAAGUGUUUUAUGGCACUUUUUAAAUCCAUAUCCACCUUGUGUGCAAUGUCAGUCGAUCUUCUUCAUGGAGAUCGACCAAACAUCAACCUUUAUCUUUUAACUCUUUGUCUGAAAAAUAUUAUGAAUAACAACUCAAAAUA